UACGUAGGGCGCAAGCGUUGUCCGGAUUCACUGGGUGUAAAGGGUGCGUAGGCGGGAAGGCAAGUCAGAGGUGAAAUCUCACGGCUCAACCGUGAAACUGCCUUUGAUACUGCUUUUCUUGAGUUAGGGAGAGGUCGAUGGAAUUCCAGGUGUAGCGGUGAAAUGCGUAGAUAUCUGGAAGAACACCGGUGGCGAAGGCGAGUCCCUGGACAACACCUGACACUGAGGCACGAAAGCUAGGGGAGCAAACAGG
RNAcentral lists this ribosomal RNA (253 nucleotides) under uncultured bacterium. Its description in RNAcentral is "partial 16S ribosomal RNA". It matches the Rfam family "Bacterial small subunit ribosomal RNA", at positions 524 to 776 of the family's 1533-position model. The record is from RNAcentral.